GGGUCAGGAGGUUGGUCGUGCCACCGGUACGUACUGGUCUCACUGAUUCCUCCUUCCUGAAGAACCGUAAUGCCAUUAAUUUGGUGUUGCGGGGAAACAGGACUGUUACUUUGAAAAAAUUAGAGUGCUUAAAGCAAGCUAACGCUUGAAUACAUUAGCAUGGAAUAAUGAAAUAGGACGAUCGAUCCUAUUUUGUUGGUUUCUAGGAUUGACGUG
RNAcentral lists this ribosomal RNA (216 nucleotides) under Glomeromycotina sp. RNAcentral's name for it is "partial small subunit ribosomal RNA". The stretch from base 40 to 216 matches the Rfam family "Eukaryotic small subunit ribosomal RNA", at positions 686 to 864 of the family's 1831-position model. Lineage: Eukaryota; Fungi; Glomeromycota. The record is from RNAcentral.